This 90-nucleotide transfer RNA is filed under the name Thermoleophilaceae bacterium. RNAcentral's name for it is "tRNA-Ser". It matches the Rfam family "tRNA". Rfam says of the family: Transfer RNA (tRNA) molecules are approximately 80 nucleotides in length. The record is from RNAcentral. Lineage: Bacteria; Bacillati; Actinomycetota; Thermoleophilia; Thermoleophilales; Thermoleophilaceae. RNAcentral also lists the same sequence under 2 other names.
GGAGGGGUGGCAGAGUGGACGAAUGCGGCGGUCUUGAAAACCGCUAGGGGCCAACCCGGUCCCUCGUGGGUUCGAAUCCCACCCCCUCCG